UACGUAGGGGGCUAGCGUUAUCCGGAAUUACUGGGCGUAAAGGGUGCGUAGGUGGUUUCUUAAGUCAGAGGUGAAAGGCUACGGCUCAACCGUAGUAAUCCUUUGAAACUGAGAAACUUGAGUGCAGGAGAGGAGAGUAGAAUUCCUAGUGUAGCGGUGAAAUGCGUAGAUAUUAGGAGGAAUACCAGUUGCGAAGGCGGCUCUCUGGACUGUAACUGACACUGAGGCACGAAAGCGUGGGGAGCAAACAGGAUUAGAUACCCGGGUAGUCCCUGAG
RNAcentral lists this ribosomal RNA (277 nucleotides) under uncultured prokaryote. RNAcentral describes it as "partial 16S ribosomal RNA". It matches the Rfam family "Bacterial small subunit ribosomal RNA", at positions 524 to 801 of the family's 1533-position model. The record is from RNAcentral.